UCUUUUUCAGACAAUUACAAGAUGAUGAAGUUAUCAUGCUCGGCGCUGGUUUUUAUAUUGUUCUGUGCACAAGUUAUUGAUGCACAAAUCUUAGGAGCAUUACUUUUAAGUCGGUUAAUAGGUGGUAAUAACUUUGGAUUAGGCGGAGGAGGUGGAUUUCAACAACCUGCUACUUUUUACUAUCCUAAUUUUCUUUCUGGUCCACCUCCAAUGCACACAGGGCCUUACUACGGAUGAAAAUUAAAAAAACAUCAUGUAAUCAACGAUUUCCCCUGAAGACUGUUCGACAUGGAUCUUCUGAAAUAUUUUAUAGAAUGAAGAAUGUGUUCAGAUUUCAGUAAAUUAAAAUUUUCAAACAUUGA
This is a long non-coding RNA of Mytilus californianus (California mussel), 362 nucleotides long. RefSeq lists it as uncharacterized. The transcript is spliced from 2 exons. The record is from RefSeq and is a predicted model, not a curated record. Lineage: Eukaryota; Metazoa; Mollusca; Bivalvia; Mytilida; Mytilidae.